Ornithorhynchus anatinus (platypus) is the source of this 248-nucleotide long non-coding RNA. RefSeq lists it as uncharacterized. The transcript is spliced from 3 exons. Lineage: Eukaryota; Metazoa; Chordata; Mammalia; Monotremata; Ornithorhynchidae. The record is from RefSeq and is a predicted model, not a curated record.
GUCCUGAUAGUUUUGUUCCGAUGGUCCAGACCCUGCCAGGGCACAGAUUUAGGUCCCUGAAGGAAAAUUUACAAUUAUAGAAACAUUUUGCAGUGCCCUGCCCAGAGCAUGUGUUUACAUGCAAGCUAUGAAUGGAAAGAUGAAGAAGAAUAUGGCUCCAGGAAAAUGAGGCUCACAGCUCUCUUCCACUGUGAAACUACUAUAGAAAUAAUCCUGAAGCCAGCCAAGAUACUUAAAAUUAAGAUAGA